GCGGGGGUGCCCGAGCCAGGUCAAAGGGGCAGGGCUCAAGCGGGCCUCGCGGCCCCGAGAGACCCUGUGGCGUAGGCCUACGUGGGUUCAAAUCCCACCCCCCGCA
Thermoproteus sp. AZ2 is the source of this 106-nucleotide non-coding RNA. The record is from Rfam. NCBI's taxonomy places the organism in Archaea, Thermoproteati, Thermoproteota, Thermoprotei, Thermoproteales, Thermoproteaceae.